The sequence is a small nucleolar RNA, 94 nucleotides long. It matches the Rfam family "Plant small nucleolar RNA R71". From Rfam's summary of the family: R71 is a member of the C/D box family of snoRNAs containing the C (UGAUGA) and D (CUGA) box motifs. Multiple nearly identical copies of this snoRNA have been identified in Arabidopsis, and it is thought to function as a 2'-O-ribose methylation guide for 18S ribosomal RNA. The record is from Rfam.
ACGCCAUGAUGAGGACAUCCUUAAAUCUUUCCCAAGCCUCAUACAAGCUUUCAUCUUCUAGUUGAUGAAAAGAAGUGAUCUCAUUUUGCAACUU